AUGUUGAACAAUUGGGAUAAACUCAGUUGUUGUAGUUCUUCAAAGAAUACCAUCUUUUCUUAAGAUUCUAGAUGAGAGCUUGUGAUAACAGAUAUGAUCUGAGUCUCUUUUAGUUUCAAUGUGUAUGUUGAGAGCACGACUUUAGAACUUUGUUGCUUAGUUUUCGUGAGGGUUGCUAACUUGCUAUGUAUGACCGGCUUCGUCGUCAGGGUUUCGGUCUUUUUAGUAUUUGAGUAAUGAGUAUCAUACUGAAUAAUUUGAGUAAUGAGUAUCAUACUGAAUAGGGAAUGAC
Molecule: long non-coding RNA, 292 nt
Filed under: Arabidopsis lyrata
Lineage: Eukaryota; Viridiplantae; Streptophyta; Magnoliopsida; Brassicales; Brassicaceae
Description: long non-coding RNA (ALYR_LNC001471)
Source: RNAcentral